AUACGGAGGAUCCGAGCGUUAUCCGGAUUUAUUGGGUUUAAAGGGUGCGCAGGCGGGAGAUUAAGUCGGCGGUGAAAUUUUGCAGCUCAACCGUAAAAGUGCCUUCGAAACUGGUUUCCUUGAGUGUAGAUGAAGUAGGCGGAAUUUGUGGUGUAGCGGUGAAAUGCAUAGAUAUCACGAGGAACUCCGAUUGCGCAGGCAGCUUACUAAACUACUACUGACGCUCAGGCACGAAGGCGUGGGGAUCAAACAGGAUUAGAUACCCUGGUAGUCCACGCAGUAAACGAUGAUUACUAGCUGUUUGCGAUACAAUGUAAGCGGCUGAGCGAAAGCGUUAAGUAAUCCACCUGGGGAGUACGUUCGCAAGAAUGAAACUCAAAUGAAUUGACGGGG
RNAcentral lists this ribosomal RNA (393 nucleotides) under uncultured bacterium. RNAcentral's name for it is "partial 16S ribosomal RNA". It matches the Rfam family "Bacterial small subunit ribosomal RNA", at positions 523 to 918 of the family's 1533-position model. The record is from RNAcentral.